Molecule: ribosomal RNA, 468 nt
Filed under: uncultured bacterium
Lineage: Bacteria
Description: partial 16S ribosomal RNA
Rfam family: Bacterial small subunit ribosomal RNA
Source: RNAcentral
GACGAACGCUGGCGGCGUGCUUAACACAUGCAAGUCGAACGGAAAGGCCCUGCUUUUGUGGGGUGCUCGAGUGGCGAACGGGUGAGUAACACGUGAGUAACCUGCCCUUGACUUUGGGAUAACUUCAGGAAACUGGGGCUAAUACCGGAUAGGAGCUCCUGCUGCAUGGUGGGGGUUGGAAAGUUUCGGCGGUUGGGGAUGGACUCGCGGCUUAUCAGCUUGUUGGUGGGGUAGUGGCUUACCAAGGCUUUGACGGGUAGCCGGCCUGGGAGGGUGACCGGCCACGUUGGGACUGAGAUACGGCCCAGACUCCUACGGGAGGAAGCAGUGGGGAAUAUUGCACAAUGGGCGGAAGCCUGAUGCAGCAACGCCGCGUGCGGGAUGACGGCCUUCGGGUUGUAAAACGCUUUCGCCUGUGACGAAGCGUGAGUGACGGUAAUGGGUAAAGAAGCACCGGCUAACUACGUG